CCUACGGGUGGCUGCAGUGAGGAAUAUUGGUCAAUGGGCGUAAGCCUGAACCAGCCAAGUCGCGUGAGGGAUGAAGGUUCUAUGGAUCGUAAACCUCUUUUAUAAGGGAAUAAAGUGUGGGACGUGUCCUAUUUUGUAUGUACCUUAUGAAUAAGGAUCGGCUAACUCCGUGCCAGCAGCCGCGGUAAUACGGAGGCUCCGAGCGUUAUCCGGAUUUAUUGGGUUUAAAGGGUGCGUAGGCGGCCUUUUAAGUCAGCGGUGAAAGUCUGUGGCUUAACCAUAGAAUUGCCGUUGAAACUGGGGGGCUUGAGUAUGUUAGAGGCAGGCGGAAUGCGUGGUGUAGCGGUGAAAUGCAUAGAUAUCACGCAGAACCCCGAUUGCGAAGGCAGCCUGCCAGGCCAUAACUGACGCUGAUGCACGAAAGCGUGGGGAUCAAACAGGAUUAGAUACCCCAGUAGUC
Molecule: ribosomal RNA, 460 nt
Filed under: uncultured bacterium
Lineage: Bacteria
Description: partial 16S ribosomal RNA
Rfam family: Bacterial small subunit ribosomal RNA
Source: RNAcentral